UUCUUUCGUGAUUUGGUUCUGUAUAGUCCAGACUGGCCUUGACCUAAUCCUCCUGCCUCAGCUGUGAUCAUAAGCCUACAGCUGCACCCCUGCCUUAUAGGAAGCCAAGACUUGUGCACACAGCUUUGCACUGGGAUCAGUUGGCACUCUGGAGAAUCCUCAGGGCUGUACCUGAGGCUAGUUUGUGAUGAGAACCAAAUGUUCUGACAGCCUCUGGGAAUGGCAACAGCCUGAUUUAUCAGAAAUGAUUGCUAACUUUGCCCCCCUCUGGGGUGGCUGAAGCCCAGUACACUUGCAUCCCUUUCUUUUCUGUCCCCACUGGCCACUGAAUUUGGUUCAUUUGAUGUUUUUGUUUUUGUUUUUUUCUGCAGGAAUGUGGGCAGAACUCCAGCCAGCCUUUGGGAUGGCUGUGGAUAAUGUAUUCUUUUCAAGUACAGACAUUUUUAUUAUUAUUCAGAUUAAAAAAAAAUGUCAGUCUAUUGAAUCUGGAGGUAGGAAGCCAUGGCUGUGGGGUCAGGUUGUUUCUCCUUUCCCUCCCUGUUUUCUCCCCCACAGUUUGUGGGCAGGUGAGGCUGCUGUGUGUUUUUGACUCUCUGUCUAACCUCAGUAGUAUUGACACUCAUGGCUGAUCUUUCCUGUGGGUCUGUGCACACUUUUGGGGACCUGUCUUAACCUUCAUUUAACCUCCACCCCCUCCCCCGGCAGGUUCUCAUGGAGCCCACACUGAUUUUGAACUUGCUAUGUAGUUGAGGAUGGUCUUGAACUCCUGAUCUUCCUGUCUUCACCUCCUCAGUGUUUCAGUGCUGGUAUUACUGCUUGCACCACACCACCGACUCUGGGCUUCAGGAGUACUAGGCAAGUACUCUAUCAACUCCGUGUUGCCAGCCCUUUCCCGCCAUGCUGAGGUCGUAGGUGUGUGUGUGUGAUGCCACUCUUGGUUUUUGUGGUGCUAGGGAUCAAACGCUGGGUACCUUCCUAUGCUAGACAUCAUAGGAUUUCUGUUUCCAGACAGGGUCUCCAUAUAUAUCCUAGGCUGCUCUUGACUUGUGACAAUUCCUGCUUCAGCCUCCUGGCUGCUGGGAUCCUGGGAGGACCACACAUAGCCGGAGAUGGGAGAUGACCUCUAUGUGUCUUUUCUGCCUGUUCAGACGGAGUUCUUUUCUGCAGAGGAAGAAAAGCAAGAGAAGAUGAGAUGACUCACUGGGUAAAGGGAUCUGCCACCAAACCCAGUCCCUGGGAUUCACAGGUAGAGGGGAGAACUGGCUCAGAGCUGUACUCUGCAGUCAUGCACCCGCCACCCCCAAACAAACAAACAAACAAACAAACAAACAAACAAACAAACAAACAUUUACAAAAAGUAAGAACUGGGCUAGGAAACUGGAGGAAUGAACCAGGGCGGUACCCAUAGGUCAUCUAUUUGAAUGCUUGGUUUCUGGUUGGGGGAAUUGUUUAAGAAGGACUAGGAAGUAUGACCUUAUUGGGGGAAUAUGUCACUGGGGGUGGGUCUUGAGUUUUCAAAAGGCCAGGUGAGACCCAGUGUUUCUCUUUGCUUACAGCUGCAGACCAGAAGUAAACUCUCAGCUCCAUCUCCAGCGCCCACGCCUGCCUGCUGUCACGCUCCCCUCCUCGAUGACCGUGGACUCACUGAAACUGUAAACAAGCUCCCAAUUCAAUGCUUUUAUUUUUAAAAAACUUUUCACUGAUUCGUCCUGAGUUUCACACCAUGUACAUCUCCCUGUCCCCUCCUAUCUGCCUUCUGCCCUUGCAACCCCCCCAAAUAAAGCACCCCCCCCAUGUAUUGUUAA
RNAcentral lists this small RNA (1805 nucleotides) under Rattus norvegicus (Norway rat). RNAcentral's name for it is "uncharacterized LOC103693272". Lineage: Eukaryota; Metazoa; Chordata; Mammalia; Rodentia; Muridae. The record is from RNAcentral.